This 423-nucleotide ribosomal RNA is filed under the name Pasiphaea sirenkoi. RNAcentral's name for it is "partial 16S ribosomal RNA". The stretch from base 299 to 423 matches the Rfam family "Bacterial large subunit ribosomal RNA", at positions 2473 to 2598 of the family's 2925-position model. The record is from RNAcentral. Lineage: Eukaryota; Metazoa; Arthropoda; Malacostraca; Decapoda; Pasiphaeidae.
AAUAGUCUUUUAAUUGAGGACUGGAAUGAAUGAUCGCACAAAAAAAAAUCUGUCUUUUUUAUAAAAAUUGAAUUUUACUUUUAAGUGAAAAGGCUUAAAUAAUUUAAGGGGACGAAAAGACCCUUUAAAGCUUUAUAAGAUAAGAGUAGUAUAAUUAUUGGAAGUGAAAAUUAAUUAUUUUGCUUUUUGUUUCAUUGGGGCGAUGAAGAUAGAAUAAAAUAACUGUCUUGUAUAUGAAAUAAUUAUAAUUAGGAAAAGUGAGCCUUAUUUGAGGAUUAUAAGAGAAAGUUACUUUAGGGAUAACAGCGUAAUUUUUUUUAAGAGUUCAUAUCGAUGAAAUUAGUUGCGACCUCGAUGUUGAAUUAAGAUAAAAUUAGGAAGCAGCAUUUUUAUUAGUAAGUCUGUUCGACUUUUAAAAUCUUA